Molecule: ribozyme, 113 nt
Filed under: Aedes aegypti (yellow fever mosquito)
Lineage: Eukaryota; Metazoa; Arthropoda; Insecta; Diptera; Culicidae
Description: drz-agam-1 ribozyme
Rfam family: drz-agam-1 ribozyme
Source: Rfam by way of RNAcentral
UGCCCAGCAACUCCUAUCCCUUCUUCCUCGUGGUACUAGCCGGAGUACGAUCAACCUUAGGGAAGAUCUGGUAACCAACCACAGUGGGAAUUUCGGUAUGCUGACAUAGAAGG